AUUGAACGCUGGCGGCAGGCCUAACACAUGCAAGUCGAGCGGCAGCGGGAAAGUAGCUUGCUACUUUUGCCGGCGAGCGGCGGACGGGUGAGUAAUGCCUGGGGAUCUGCCCAGUCGAGGGGGAUAACUACUGGAAACGGUAGCUAAUACCGCAUACGCCCUACGGGGGAAAGCAGGGGACCUUCGGGCCUUGCGCGAUUGGAUGAACCCAGGUGGGAUUAGCUAGUUGGUGAGGUAACGGCUCACCAAGGCGACGAUCCCCAGCUGGUCUGAGAGGAUGAUCAGCCACACUGGAACAGAGACACGGUCCAGACUCCUACGGGAGGCAGCAGUGGGGAAUAUUGCACAAUGGGGGAAACCCUGAUGCAGCCAUGCCGCGUGUGUGAAGAAGGCCUUCGGGUUGUAAAGCACUUUCAGCGAGGAGGAAAGGUCAGUAGCUAAUAUCUGCUGGCUGUGACGUUACUCGCAGAAGAAGCACCGGCUAACUCCGUGCCAGCAGCCGCCGUAA
Molecule: ribosomal RNA, 508 nt
Filed under: uncultured bacterium
Lineage: Bacteria
Description: partial 16S ribosomal RNA
Rfam family: Bacterial small subunit ribosomal RNA
Source: RNAcentral